AUUGAACGCUGGCGGCAGGCUUAACACAUGCAAGUCGAGCGGGGUGAUGGUGCUUGCACUAUCACUUAGCGGCGGACGGGUGAGUAAUGCUUAGGAAUCUGCCUAUUAGUGGGGGACAACAUCUCGAAAGGGAUGCUAAUACCGCAUACGUCCUACGGGGGAAAGCAGGGGAUCACUUGUGACCUUGCGCUAAUAGAUGAGCCUAAGUCGGAUUAGCUAGUUGGUGGGGUAAAGGCCUACCAAGGCGACGAUCUGUAGCGGGUCUGAGAGGAUGAUCCGCCACACUGGGACUGAGACACGGCCCAGACUCCUACGGGAGGCAGCAGUGGGGAAUAUUGGACAAUGGGGGGAACCCUGAUCCAGCCAUGCCGCGUGUGUGAAGAAGGCCUUAUGGUUGUAAAGCACUUUAAGCGAGGAGGAGGCUCUUUUGGUUAAUACCCAAGAUGAGUGGACGUUACUCGCAGAAUAAGCACCGGCUAACUCUGUGCCAGCAGCUGCCGUAA
This 503-nucleotide ribosomal RNA is filed under the name uncultured bacterium. RNAcentral describes it as "partial 16S ribosomal RNA". It matches the Rfam family "Bacterial small subunit ribosomal RNA", at positions 30 to 523 of the family's 1533-position model. The record is from RNAcentral.